UAUGCGAAAUAUUAUUUAAGUUUUCCUCUUGAGCUUUACACCUGUUGUCAUGAGCAUAUAGCGUCAUGACCUGGUGUGGUUUUGGAGAGGAAAACGAAAAUCACCACUAA
RNAcentral lists this microRNA precursor (110 nucleotides) under Haemonchus contortus (barber pole worm). RNAcentral's name for it is "microRNA hco-mir-5946c precursor". Lineage: Eukaryota; Metazoa; Nematoda; Chromadorea; Rhabditida; Trichostrongylidae. The record is from miRBase by way of RNAcentral.